RNAcentral lists this ribosomal RNA (451 nucleotides) under Tudorella ferruginea. RNAcentral's name for it is "partial 16S ribosomal RNA". It matches the Rfam family "Bacterial large subunit ribosomal RNA", at positions 1857 to 2566 of the family's 2925-position model. Lineage: Eukaryota; Metazoa; Mollusca; Gastropoda; Littorinimorpha; Pomatiidae. The record is from RNAcentral.
GCCUGCCCGGUGAUAAUUUAAACGGCUGCGGUAUAUUGACUGUGCGAAGGUAGCAUAAUCAUUUGCUUUAUAAUUGAAGGCUGGUAUGAAGGGUUUGACGAAAGCAAUACUGUCUUUAUUGAAUUUUUUAGAAUUUAACUUUUAGGUGAAAAGGCUUAAAUUUAAUUAAUAGACAAGAAGACCCUAUCGAGCUUAAAGAAAUUAAUAGAUGAAAGAUAAUAGCAUAAUUUGUAAUUUAAUUUUAUUAAGGUAUUUUAGUUGGGGUGACUGAGGAACAUUAGAAGCUUCUUUGAGUUGUUUUUUAUUGUGGUUAUAGAUCCAGUGUGAUGUACUGAUUUUUAGAUUUAGUUACCGUAGGGAUAACAGCAUAAUCUUUUUUGAGAGUUCUUAUCGAGAAAAAGGUUUGUGACCUCGAUGUUGGAUUAAAAUUUCCUAAGGGUGUAGAAGCUUA